AGUGAACGCUGGCGGUAGGCCUAACACAUGCAAGUCGAACGGCAGCACAGUAAGAGCUUGCUCUUACGGGUGGCGAGUGGCGGACGGGUGAGGAAUACAUCGGAAUCUACUUUUUCGUGGGGGAUAACGUAGGGAAACUUACGCCAAUACCGCAUACGACCUACGGGUGAAAGCAGGGGAUCUUCGGACCUUGCGCGAAUGAAUGAGCCGAUGUCGGAUUAGCUAGUUGGCGGGGUAAAGGCCCACCAAGGCGACGAUCCGUAGCUGGUCUGAGAGGAUGAUCGGCCACACUGGAACUGAGACACGGUCCAGACUCCUACGGGAGGCAGCAGUGGGGAAUAUUGGACAAUGGGCGCAAGCCUGAUCCAGCCAUACCGCGUGGGUGAAGAAGGCCUUCGGGUUGUAAAGCCCUUUUGUUGGGAAAGAAAAGCAGCAGGUUAAUACCCCGCUGUUCUGACGGUACCCAAAGAAUAAGCACCGGCUAACUUCGUG
RNAcentral lists this ribosomal RNA (492 nucleotides) under uncultured bacterium. Its description in RNAcentral is "partial 16S ribosomal RNA". It matches the Rfam family "Bacterial small subunit ribosomal RNA", at positions 29 to 507 of the family's 1533-position model. The record is from RNAcentral.